Molecule: ribosomal RNA, 240 nt
Filed under: uncultured Lactobacillus sp.
Lineage: Bacteria; Bacillati; Bacillota; Bacilli; Lactobacillales; Lactobacillaceae
Description: partial 16S ribosomal RNA
Rfam family: Bacterial small subunit ribosomal RNA
Source: RNAcentral
UAACCUGCCCAAGAGAUCGGGAUACCACCUGGAAACAGAUGCUAAUACCGGAUAACAACAGAUGAUGCCUAUCAACUGUUUAAAAGAUGGUUCUGCUAUCACUCUUGGAUGGACCUGCGGUGCAUUAGCUAGUUGGUAGGGUAACGGCCUACCAAGGCGAUGAUGCAUAGCCGAGUUGAGAGACUGAUCGGCCACAUUGGGACUGAGACACGGCCCAAACUCCUACGGGAGGCAGCAGCC